GUGGGGAAUAUUGGACAAUGGGCGAAAGCCUGAUCCAGCCAUGCCGCGUGUGUGAAGAAGGUCUUCGGAUUGUAAAGCACUUUAAGUUGGGAGGAAGGGCAGUAAGUUAAUACCUUGCUGUUUUGACGUUACCAACAGAAUAAGCACCGGCUAACUUCGUGCCAGCAGCCGCGGUAAUACGAAGGGUGCAAGCGUUAAUCGGAAUUACUGGGCGUAAAGCGCGCGUAGGUGGUUAAGCAAGUUGGAGGUGAAAUCCCCGGGCUCAACCUGGGAACUGCCUCCAAAACUACUGAGCUAGAGUACGGUAGAGGGUAGUGGAAUUUCCUGUGUAGCGGUGAAAUGCGUAGAUAUAGGAAGGAACACCAGUGGCGAAGGCGACUACCUGGACUGAUACUGACACUGAGGUGCGAAAGCAUGGGGAGCAAACAGGAUUAGAAACCCCGGUAGUCC
This 450-nucleotide ribosomal RNA is filed under the name uncultured bacterium. RNAcentral describes it as "partial 16S ribosomal RNA". It matches the Rfam family "Bacterial small subunit ribosomal RNA", at positions 354 to 796 of the family's 1533-position model. The record is from RNAcentral.